This 253-nucleotide ribosomal RNA is filed under the name uncultured bacterium. RNAcentral's name for it is "partial 16S ribosomal RNA". It matches the Rfam family "Bacterial small subunit ribosomal RNA", at positions 524 to 776 of the family's 1533-position model. The record is from RNAcentral.
UACGAAGGGGGCUAGCGUUGCUCGGAAUCACUGGGCGUAAAGCGCACGUAGGCGGGUUCUUAAGUCAGGGGUGAGAUCCUGGAGCUCAACUCCAGAACUGCCUUUGAUACUGGGAAUCUCGAGUCCGGGAGAGGUGAGUGGAACUGCGAGUGUAGAGGUGAAAUUCGUAGAUAUUCGCAAGAACACCAGUGGCGAAGGCGGCUCACUGGCCCGGUACUGACGCUGAGGUGCGAAAGCGUGGGGAGCAAACAGG